Molecule: ribosomal RNA, 253 nt
Filed under: uncultured bacterium
Lineage: Bacteria
Description: partial 16S ribosomal RNA
Rfam family: Bacterial small subunit ribosomal RNA
Source: RNAcentral
UACGUAGGGUUCGAGCGUUGUCCGGAAUUAUUGGGCGUAAAGGGCUCGUAGGCGGUUUGUCACGUCGGGAGUGAAAACUCAGGGCUCAACCCUGAGCGUGCUUCCGAUACGGGCAGACUAGAGGUAUGCAGGGGAGAACGGAAUUCCUGGUGUAGCGGUGGAAUGCGCAGAUAUCAGGAGGAACACCGGUGGCGAAGGCGGUUCUCUGGGCAUUACCUGACGCUGAGGAGCGAAAGCAUGGGGAGCGAACAGG